AUUGAACGCUGGCGGCAGGCCUAAUACAUGCAAGUCGAGCGGAUGAACGGAGCUUGCUCUUGUCUUAAGCUGCGGACGGGUGAGUAAUGCCCAGGAAUAUGACUGGUCGUGGGGGCUAACGUCAGGUCAGGGGCGCUAAUCUCGUAUCCGUCAUGAGGGUGAACGUCAUGGUUCUUCGGACCUCACGCUAUCUGCUGUCCCUAGGUCGUAUUAGCUAGUUGGUGGGGUAACGGCCUACCAAGGCAACGAUCCGUAGCUGCUCUGAGAGGCUGAUCAGUCACACUGGAACUGAGACACGGUCCAGACUCCUACGGGAGGCAGCAGUAGGGAAUAUUCGGCAAUGGGCGAAAGCCUGACGGAGCCAUGCCGCGUGAGUGAAGAAGGUCUUCGGAUUGUAAAGCUCUGUUAUUUGGGAAGAAGAGAAGUAUGAGUAUAUCUUGACGUCUUGACGGUACCUACAGAAAAAGCACCGGCUAACUUCGUG
Molecule: ribosomal RNA, 484 nt
Filed under: uncultured bacterium
Lineage: Bacteria
Description: partial 16S ribosomal RNA
Rfam family: Bacterial small subunit ribosomal RNA
Source: RNAcentral